UAAAGGUACUAUCCUUUCUACUGUGGAUCCAUCAAUUUACUGUUUUUAGGCUUGUUAGUGUUAAUGACUACUUUCAUAUGAUUUUAGUUUUUGUCAAGAAUUGUUUAUUUUUUCACCAAUGACAAUAUUGUAGUCUGAUAGUUAAAGCUUGAAAGUGUGAAGUUAAAUUUGUGAUUUUAGUGAAAAUUGAGAUUUAGGUGUUCUUGAUUUACAGGUAUAACUCAAAAUUUGAUUGACUUGUGUGGAGGUUGAUGAUUUGACACUGCAUAUUCACUUAUGGAUAUAUCUCAUU
RNAcentral lists this long non-coding RNA (292 nucleotides) under Solanum tuberosum (potato). Its description in RNAcentral is "long non-coding RNA (STUB_LNC000992)". Lineage: Eukaryota; Viridiplantae; Streptophyta; Magnoliopsida; Solanales; Solanaceae. The record is from RNAcentral.